This 253-nucleotide ribosomal RNA is filed under the name uncultured bacterium. RNAcentral's name for it is "partial 16S ribosomal RNA". It matches the Rfam family "Bacterial small subunit ribosomal RNA", at positions 524 to 776 of the family's 1533-position model. The record is from RNAcentral.
UACGUAGGGACCGAGCGUUGUCCGGAUUCAUUGGGCGUAAAGAGCUCGUAGGCGGCCACUCAAGUCGAAUGUGAAACCUCGAGGCUUAACCUCGAGCCUGCAUUCGAUACUGGGCGGCUAGAGUCUGGUAGGGGGAUCUGGAAUUCCUGGUGUAGCGGUGGAAUGCGCAGAUAUCAGGAGGAACACCGGUGGCGAAGGCGGCGUUCUGGACUGCAACUGACACUGAGGAACGAAAGCCAGGGGAGCAAACGGG